RNAcentral lists this ribosomal RNA (487 nucleotides) under uncultured archaeon. RNAcentral describes it as "bacterial SSU rRNA". It matches the Rfam family "Archaeal small subunit ribosomal RNA", at positions 1 to 473 of the family's 1478-position model. The record is from RNAcentral.
UUCUGGUUGAUCCUGCCGGACCCGACUGCUAUUUGGGUGAGGAUAAGCCAUGCGAGUUGAAUGGGAUACCUAAAGUUCCCAUGGCAAACUGCUCAGUAACACAUGAUCAACUUGCCCUAUAGAGAAAAAUAACCUCGGGAAACUGAGGAUAAUGUUUCAUAGCUGAAUUGGCUUGGAAAAGUUUUUCAGUGAAAGGGAUAAAAAAAAUGGUUUUUAUCUGCUAUAGGAUAGGAUCGUGUUCGAUUAUGGUUGUUGGUGAGGUAAUGGCUCACCAAGCCGAUAAUCGAUAGGGGCCGUGAGAGCGGGAGCCCCGAGAUGGGUACUGAGACAACGACCCAGGCCUUACGAGGCGCAGCAGGCGCGAAACCUCCGCAAUACACGAAAGUGUGACGGGGUUACCCAAAGUGUUCAAUUUUGAACUGUGGUAGGUGAGUAAUGUUCCCUACUANAAAGGAGAGGGCAAGGCUGGUGCCAGCCGCCGCGGUAA